CAAUAAGUUAGUAACCUUAAACUUGCACAUGGCAGUUUGAGGGACGACUCGAGUAAAGACACUAGAGACGAUGAAGAGGAAUUAAAUCUUGAAUCAAAGACAAGCGACUAGAGACUAGAAAGUACUUAUUAACUGGGGGUAUGUAACAAUUUCGUUUCACUUUUCGGAAGCGACACCUGGAAACUUACUUACUUCGAGUGUUCUCUUGGCACGGUAUUCGUAGAUGACAGAUGAGAUGAUAUUAUUCAACUUCAUAUCGCGCCUUCUCGAUUGCGAGUAGAUAUUGGUUACCCUCUGCGUAACCGUUUAUACGUGAAACCGUUGGAAUUAAUCUCGACUUAAUUAGUUUAUUCAGGCAUACAUUUUGAUCUGUGGUGUGCAUUACAUUCGAGGUAUAGUUUUA
Molecule: long non-coding RNA, 403 nt
Organism: Microplitis demolitor
Lineage: Eukaryota; Metazoa; Arthropoda; Insecta; Hymenoptera; Braconidae
Exons: 3
Source: RefSeq, a predicted model, not a curated record